This 834-nucleotide ribosomal RNA is filed under the name uncultured bacterium. Its description in RNAcentral is "bacterial SSU rRNA". It matches the Rfam family "Bacterial small subunit ribosomal RNA", at positions 54 to 901 of the family's 1533-position model. The record is from RNAcentral.
CAUGCAAGUCGAACGAGAGAGAAGGAGCUUGCUUCUUCGAUCGAGUGGCGAACGGGUGAGUAACGCGUGAGGAACCUGCCUCAAAGAGGGGGACAACAGUUGGAAACGACUGCUAAUACCGCAUAAGCCCACGGGUCGGCAUCGACCUGAGGGAAAAGGAGUGAUCCGCUUUGAGAUGGCCUCGCGUCCGAUUAGCUGGUUGGUGAGGUAACGGCCCACCAAGGCGACGAUCGGUAGCCGGACUGAGAGGUUGAACGGCCACAUUGGGACUGAGACACGGCCCAGACUCCUACGGGAGGCAGCAGUGGGGAAUAUUGCACAAUGGGGGAAACCCUGAUGCAGCGACGCCGCGUGGAGGAAGAAGGUCUUCGGAUUGUAAACUCCUGUUGUUGAGGAAGAUAAUGACGGUACUCAACAAGGAAGUGACGGCUAACUACGUGCCAGCAGCCGCGGUAAAACGUAGGUCACAAGCGUUGUCCGGAAUUACUGGGUGUAAAGGGAGCGCAGGCGGGAAGACAAGUUGGAAGUGAAAUCUAUGGGCUCAACCCAUAAACUGCUUUCAAAACUGUUUUUCUUGAGUAGUGCAGAGGUAGGCGGAAUUCCCGGUGUAGCGGUGGAAUGCGUAGAUAUCGGGAGGAACACCAGUGGCGAAGGCGGCCUACUGGGCACCAACUGACGCUGAGGCUCGAAAGUGUGGGUAGCAAACAGGAUUAGAUACCCUGGUAGUCCACACCGUAAACGAUGAUUACUAGGUGUUGGAGGAUUGACCCCUUCAGUGCCGCAGUUAACACAAUAAGUAAUCCACCUGGGGAGUACGACCGCAAGGUUGAAACU